RNAcentral lists this ribosomal RNA (253 nucleotides) under uncultured bacterium. RNAcentral's name for it is "partial 16S ribosomal RNA". It matches the Rfam family "Bacterial small subunit ribosomal RNA", at positions 524 to 776 of the family's 1533-position model. The record is from RNAcentral.
UACGUAGGGUGCGAGCGUUGUCCGGAAUUACUGGGCGUAAAGAGCUCGUAGGUGGUUUGUCGCGUUGUUCGUGAAAACUCACAGCUCAACUGUGGGCGUGCGGGCGAUACGGGCAGACUGGAGUACUGCAGGGGAGACUGGAAUUCCUGGUGUAGCGGUGGAAUGCGCAGAUAUCAGGAGGAACACCGGUGGCGAAGGCGGGUCUCUGGGCAGUAACUGACGCUGAGGAGCGAAAGCGUGGGGAGCGAACCGG